AGACUUAGCACCAAUCUGUAACU
This 23-nucleotide microRNA is filed under the name Daphnia pulex (common water flea). Its description in RNAcentral is "Dpu-Novel-7_5p* (star (passenger))". The record is from RNAcentral. Lineage: Eukaryota; Metazoa; Arthropoda; Branchiopoda; Diplostraca; Daphniidae.